CAGCGCCAUGAGUGGCAAUCAUAAUUAUUGGGCCUAAAGCGUCCGUAGCCUGUUUGGUCUGUCUUUUGUGAAAUCGUUUGGCUUAACCUAACGGUAUGCAAAAGAUACUGCCAGACUUGGAACCGGGAGGGGUCAGAGGUAUUCAUGGGGGAGCGGUAAAAUGCUAUAAUCCCUUGAAGACCACCUGUGGCGAAGGCAUCUGACUAGAACGGCUUCGACGGUGAGGGACGAAAGCUAGGGGAGCAAACCGGAUUAGAUACCCGAGUAGUCC
RNAcentral lists this ribosomal RNA (271 nucleotides) under uncultured archaeon. Its description in RNAcentral is "partial 16S ribosomal RNA". It matches the Rfam family "Archaeal small subunit ribosomal RNA", at positions 477 to 747 of the family's 1478-position model. The record is from RNAcentral.